This 54-nucleotide ribosomal RNA is filed under the name Polylepis australis. RNAcentral describes it as "partial 18S ribosomal RNA". The record is from RNAcentral. Lineage: Eukaryota; Viridiplantae; Streptophyta; Magnoliopsida; Rosales; Rosaceae.
AGGAAGGAGAGUCGUAACAAGGUUUCUGUAGGUGAACCUACGAAAUGAUCAUUG